AUACGGAGGACGCGAGCGUUAUCCGGAUUCAUUGGGUUUAAAGGGUGCGCAGGCGGCCGUGCAAGUCAGCGGUGAAAGCCCGGGGCUCAACCCCGGAAGUGCCGUUGAUACUGCAUGGCUGGAAUGCGGUCGAGGCGGGCGGAACGUGGCGUGUAGCGGUGAAAAGCGUAGAUAUGCCACAGAACGCCGAUAGCGGAGGCAGCUCGCCAGGCCUGCAUUGACGCUCGGGCACGAAAGCGUGGGGAUCGAACAGGAUUAGAUACCCUGGUAGUCCACGCCGUAAACGAUGGGCGCUCGUCGUCGGCGGCAGACAGUCGGCGGCCAAGCGAAAGCGAUAAGCGCCCCACCUGGGGAGUACGGUCGCAAGGCUGAAACUCAAAUGAAUUGACGGGG
This 393-nucleotide ribosomal RNA is filed under the name uncultured bacterium. Its description in RNAcentral is "partial 16S ribosomal RNA". It matches the Rfam family "Bacterial small subunit ribosomal RNA", at positions 523 to 918 of the family's 1533-position model. The record is from RNAcentral.